This 497-nucleotide ribosomal RNA is filed under the name uncultured bacterium. Its description in RNAcentral is "partial 16S ribosomal RNA". It matches the Rfam family "Bacterial small subunit ribosomal RNA", at positions 28 to 507 of the family's 1533-position model. The record is from RNAcentral.
GAUGAACGCUGGCGGCGUGCCUAAUACAUGCAAGUCGAGCGAACAGACGAGGAGCUUGCUCCUCUGACGUUAGCGGCGGACGGGUGAGUAACACGUGGAUAACCUACCUAUAAGACUGGGAUAACUUCGGGAAACCGGAGCUAGUACCGGAUAAUAUAUUGAACCGCAUGGUUCAAUAGUGAAAGACGGUUUUGCUGUCACUUAUAGAUGGAUCCGCGCCGCAUUAGCUAGUUGGUAAGGUAACGGCUUACCAAGGCAACGAUGCGUAGCCGACCUGAGAGGGUGAUCGGCCACACUGGAACUGAGACACGGUCCAGACUCCUACGGGAGGCAGCAGUAGGGAAUCUUCCGCAAUGGGCGAGAGCCCGACGGAGCAACGCCGCGUGAGUGAUGAAGGUCUUCGGAUCGUAAAACUCUGUUAUUAGGGAAGAACAAAUGUGUAAGUAACUAUGCACGUCUUGACGGUACCUAAUCAGAAAGCCACGGCUAACUACGUG